AAGGGGGCUAGCGUUGCUCGGAAUCACUGGGCGUAAAGCGCACGUAGGCGGAUUGUUAAGUCAGGGGUGAAAUCCUGGAGCUCAACUCCAGAACUGCCUUUGAUACUGGCGAUCUCGAGUCCGGGAGAGGUGAGUGGAACUGCGAGUGUAGAGGUGAAAUUCGUAGAUAUUCGCAAGAACACCAGUGGCGAAGGCGGCUCACUGGCCCGGUACUGACGCUGAGGUGCGAAAGCGUGGGGAGCAAACAGG
RNAcentral lists this ribosomal RNA (249 nucleotides) under uncultured bacterium. RNAcentral's name for it is "partial 16S ribosomal RNA". It matches the Rfam family "Bacterial small subunit ribosomal RNA", at positions 528 to 776 of the family's 1533-position model. The record is from RNAcentral.